GAUGAACGCUGGCGGCGUGCCUAAUACAUGCAAGUCGAGCGAACAGACGAGGAGCUUGCUCCUCUGACGUUAGCGGCGGACGGGUGAGUAACACGUGGAUAACCUACCUAUAAGACUGGGAUAACUUCGGGAAACCGGAGCUCAUACCGGAUAAUAUAUUGCACCGCAUGGUUCAAUAGUGAAAGACGGUUUUGCUGUCACUUAUAGAUGGAUCCGCGCCGCAUUAGCUAGUUGGUAAGGUAACGGCUUACCAAGGCAACGAUGCGUAGCCGACCUGAGAGGGUGAUCGGCCACACUGGAACUGAGACACGGUCCAGACUCCUACGGGCGGCAGCAGUAGGGAAUCUUCCGCAAUGGGCGAAAGCCUGACGGAGCAACGCCGCGUGAGUGAUGAAGGUCUUCGGAUCGUAAAACUCUGUUAUUAGGGAAGAACAAAUGUGUAAGUAACUAUGCACGUCUUGACGGUACCUAAUCAGAAAGCCACGGCUAACUACGUG
This 497-nucleotide ribosomal RNA is filed under the name uncultured bacterium. Its description in RNAcentral is "partial 16S ribosomal RNA". It matches the Rfam family "Bacterial small subunit ribosomal RNA", at positions 28 to 507 of the family's 1533-position model. The record is from RNAcentral.